CCUACGGGAGGCAGCAGUCGAGAAUCAUUCACAAUGGGGGAAACCCUGAUGGUGCGACGCCGCGUGGGGGAAUGAAGGUCUUCGGAUUGUAAACCCCUGUCAUGUGGGAGCAAAUUAAAAAGAUAGUACCACAAGAGGAAGAGACGGCUAACUCUGUGCCAGCAGCCGCGGUAAUACAGAGGUCUCAAGCGUUGUUCGGAAUCACUGGGCGUAAGGCGUGCGUAGGCUGUUUCGUAAGUCGUGUGUGAAAGGCGCGGGCUCAACCCGCGGACGGCACAUGAUACUGCGAGACUAGAGUAAUGGAGGGGGAACCGGAAUUCUUGGUGUAGCAGUGAAAUGCGUAGAUAUCGAGAGGAACACUCGUGGCGAAGGCGGGUUCCUGGACAUUAACUGACGCUGAGGCACGAAGGCCAGGGGAGCGAAAGGGAUUAGAUACCCCUGUAGUC
This 446-nucleotide ribosomal RNA is filed under the name uncultured bacterium. RNAcentral's name for it is "partial 16S ribosomal RNA". It matches the Rfam family "Bacterial small subunit ribosomal RNA", at positions 338 to 795 of the family's 1533-position model. The record is from RNAcentral.